This 5179-nucleotide long non-coding RNA is filed under the name Homo sapiens (human). RNAcentral's name for it is "non-protein coding lnc-CCDC78-4:1". The record is from RNAcentral. Lineage: Eukaryota; Metazoa; Chordata; Mammalia; Primates; Hominidae.
GCCGCGUCCGGCUCCAAGCCUGCGAGGGUCGGCUCCGUUGGUCCGCUCUGCGGACCGCCGUUUGCGGCCUGUGCUGGCUGCUGGCGACCCGCGGAAGGGGACAGGCAGGCCCUGCCCUGGGGGAGCGCACGUGCCGGCGGGAGUCGGGAUACACCCGGCGAUCUCACGGGCUAGAGCCCCAGGGAAACGGGGCUGCGCGUCUUUGUCGUGGAAUGAAGGGAAGUCUGCCUUGGAGAGGGGCGGUCCUGGCCCCAGAACCAGCCGGGGGCUCGCGUGGGGCGGCUGGAGCCCAGGGAGCCGGUGGGAAAGCGGCUCCCCGGGAUGAGACAGCGUCCAGGCGCCAGCACCCCCAUGACUCUGCCUCGGGGAGACUGCUGGGGGCGCUCCGCUGACUCGGACACCCAGCGCCAGCCAGAGCCCGGGAGGACAUCCUUCCAUUUCCCUCCUACAGCCUGAGCGAUGAGCCCCAGUGGGCGGUGAAGGGAUGGGGGGUGGGGUCUGAGGGAGAAGGGCAUGGAGGAGGGGCUGACACGGAGGAGAGCUUGAGCAGGCCCAAGAAGACAGAUGCUGGCUCUCAGGCGAGUGUGGUGGGAGGAAAGCCGGAUGUCACAGGCGGGGGCCUCUGGCACCUGCCAGCUACAGGGAAGGCAGACAGCCCCGGGAGUGGGGAGAUCACCUUCCUUCUCCAGAAAACAACACACAAAAAGACUGAGUUCCUGGAGGUGACCUUGUGAAGCUGGGGGUGGGAAGCGCAAGUGGAAGAGCCGAGCUCUGGGUCAGGCAGCUGGGCCACGACCUCCACACCCAGGGUAGGGCUGAACACCCGUGAAUGUCGGGGGUUGUCUAUGCGUGCCCUGGCCUAGCUCCUCCUUAGCCAUCCGUGGCUGGGGUCUAGAGCCCCUGCAGGGACAGAGGCUGCUUCCAGACAUGGGUAUGCCGCAGACCACAGCCCCCAGCUCCCAAGUGCAGAGUCUCACAGGCCUGCCCACGUUGGCCCCAGCCCCACCCAGCUCAGCGUGUCCUGUCUCCUGGGGGCCUGGAACGGCCCUCCCAGGAAAGGAAGGGUGUAUGUACACUGAGCUCUAGGGGGAGCUGACAGCGCCCAUUCCUGUCCUGCUGCCUGCAUUAUUCCCUGCACCUAGAGCAGUUACCUAGGAGGCUUACUGGAUGAAUGCACCUAAUUGGACUCUAGCGUGCACUCUCCACUCUUCUUUUUUUUUUUUUUUUUUUUUUUUUUUUUUUUUUGAGACUUGAGUCUCGCUCUUUCGCCCAGGUUGGAGUGCAGUGGCGCAGUCUUGGCUCACUGCAACCUCUGCCUUCCAGGUUCAAGUGAUUCCUCUGCCUCAGCCUUUUGAGUAGCUGGGAUUACAGAUGCAUGCCACCAUGUCUGGCUAAUUUUUUGUGUUUUAUUAGAGACGGUUUCACCAUGUUGGCCAGGAUGGUCUCCAUCUCCUGACCUCAUGAUCUGCUUGCCUGGGCCUCCCAAAGUGUUGGGAUUACAGGCGUGAGCCACUGCGCCCAACCUCCCCACUCCUCUCCCGUCCACACCAGGCACUCUGCUGCUUGGCCUUUGGGCACUCUGCAGCCACCUGUACCUGUGUGAACUGGCACUUGCCUGGCGGUGUCUGUGAUCCACAGGCCCCAGGCUCCUGUAGCUCCUGCCCACCUGCUCACCCACACUGUCUCCCUAUCUCCCAUGCCACUUUGGCCACCUGUCCCCAGGGCAGGCAUGAAGCCCCUGGUCUAAUGCUCCAAGACCCAUUUGGGCACCGUGGUGCUCCUGUGGCCCUGUGUCUCAUGAGAAGACAGCUGGUUGCAAAGCCAGGGCUUUCUCUGGGAGGGUCUGUAGGUGCAAGGCUCAGGCACUUCCUGAGACAGGUAGGUAGAAGCCAGGGUUCGGCCAGGGCCCAGCCCAGGGUGUUUGUGAACAGGUGGACUUGGGUGUGGCUGAAAAGGAGAGGUUGUAGGAAGCUGGCCAGAGAAUCAGGGCAAGUGCCAAAGGUAAGGGGGUUGCUCGGCCCACGGGAAAGCCUCUCCAAGACAGGAGUGGAGGAGGCGGUGCAGGAGGGCACACGGGCUACCUCCUUUUCUAGUGUUUGCAGAAGUGUUUGGGCUGGGGGCAGAUGGAUGUAAGGCUAUGGGCCCCAGGGAGUGGUCAGGGCUGAAGAUGAAAAAGUGGAGGUUGUCCAAGGGUUAUUGGAGGCUGCCCCAGAGGAGCGGUCCUGUGCCUGAGCCCUCAGCGUGCCACAGUUGGGAGAGGAGAGAAGCAGCAAGGAACCUGAGGAGGGGCAGAAGGUGGGAGAACCCCCACAGUGCAUGACACCCAGUGGCUGCGCUCCUCACCCAUCCUCAUCAGCCCUGCGGCAGGCAGGUGAUCUGUGUGAAAGGGUAAGUCUCUUGCACGUGCAGUGGAAGUCCCAGGGCGGCGCUGGAGGUGACCCCCCUCCCCAGGUGUCCACAGAGGGCAUGGCACUCAUCAGGCAUCUGCAUCCGCUAACCUAGAGAAAGGACCGUGUUUGUGGGCCCUGCACAGCUGUGUCCCUCACACAGCCUCAGUUUCCCCCUUGAAAGCUGGGGGCUUCAUCUGCCUGGGCAGGGCCUCUGGCCUCCACCCCCACCCCGGCCCAGGCGAGAAUGGAAAGCCAUUUCUGGGGCUCAGCCCAGGGGUCCCUGGCCCUUGAGCCAUGGCUGUCUCUUUCCCAGGAUCCGAGGGGUUGGGGUGAGAGGAGGCAGCUCACACAGGGCCAGGUGUCCUGGAACACCCCCACCCAGGGGCUUUUAGCCUCGGAGCCUUGGGCUGUGGCUGUCCCAAACCUCACUGGCCCUUUAUGCGGCUGAAAGGCCGAGGAGGAAGGCGGAGACAGUGACAAUGGGGCCAGUGGCGGGAAACGGUCCUUAGAGACCCCAUUGUGCACCCCGCCCGCCGGAAACAGGCAACAAGCAGGACCCUGCAGAGGGGACCCCACACCCUUCGGGCUCCUCGCCACGUCUGGAUGCUCAGCACGUCGAAGGGGCCUGAGGACAGAGGGGCCCAUUCUUCCCCAAGGGCGGGACGGGGCCAAGGAUGACUCUGCGGGCUCACAGCAGCCAUGGGGGAAGUCGGCACCCUGCCAGCCUGCAGCCCCUUCCCUCACAGGCCUGGCUCAGAGCCGGAGCGCUGUGCGCCCGCCUGCCCCCACCGUACCCGAGGGACCCUAUGCCCCUCUGCCCCUUUCCUCUCCUGCUGAGCCCCAGAAGCACCUGGCACGGGAGGCAAGUGGGAGCCAGCCAGGGAAGCAGGCAAGGGUGCGGGCAAGGACGGGGCUGGUGGGUGCAGCAGAGCAGAAGCUUGCAUGAGUGCAGGUCCCCACGUGCCCCCCACCCAGCAGCGGCCCCUCCCCGGAAUGUGGGUGUAGCUCCUCCUGACAUCUGCUCUCCCUCUCAGUUGCCAAAUGGUCUUGAACAAGAUACCAUUCCCCUGAGCCUCAGUCUCCCGCCAGGAGGCAGGAAUUGGAGCCAUCCUCACAGCUGCGAGGCAGGCCCAAGGCUGGGCUGGACACAGGAGACCAGGUCCACAGCAGCUUGCGUGAACAGAGUUCUUAUUGAUAGUCCCAUCACCUCCAAAGCAGUGGGCCCACCCUCCCUCCUACCAGCCCCUCCCCAGCACCCAGCCCCUCAGUGCAGCGCCACCUCGCAGGGGUGGAGGUGGGCAGCACGGGCAGCCUCGUAGGCACGGCGGAACUCCUGGAAUCGUGGGGCACAGCCCAGCCGGGCCUCCCCAAAGCGGCUCCAGCCCAUGAAGAGGAAGGUGCCUGGGCCCGGGUGGACGCCACAGCGCAGUGGGGUACGAAUGGAGGUCAGCCCCUGGUCCCCGGAUCGCCCCGCCUGGAACAGCGGCGGUGUCUGGCGGAGGACACGGGCGGCCACCACAGUGAUGACAGACUCCUGCAGCUCCACGUCAUGGGUGACCCCAUGGAUGAUCCCGUGAAUUACUGUGGGGAGGCAUGUGGCUGCGGUAGGCAUUCAGGGGAAGGCAGGCUCCAGGCUCCCCCCAUGGCGGGGACACUCACCGAAGUCGCUGGUGCAUGCGGCCAGGAGCAGCUCAGCGUCGCUGCAGGGCCUGCAGGCACCUGGCAUGCAGAGGGGGUGGUGAGGAGAGGCCCUGCCCUCUCCCGGCAUCACCCCAGGCCCCGUCCCUUGUCCGCACAAGCGGCAGGAGGCAGCAGGCAAAUGAGCAGAGCCCACGCUCAGGGCCUGAUGGCACCUGGGGGUCCCAGAGAGCUACACAGCAGAUGUGCACGCCCUCGGCGACACCUGUACUCAGGAAACACACUUGCAGGCGCGUACCUCCAAGGCAGGAAUGCACACAGACGUGGGCCUGGGGGCCAUGCCUAGCGAUCAGCUGUCCUGGGCCGCCCUCCUGCACUCCCAUCUGACAUAUGCACCCCAGCAUCUGGGACCCCUCUAGUUUCCCGGAUCUGAGGUCUGAAGAGCAGCAGCCCAGCUAGGGUGAUAGGAAGUGGGGGCAGAGGAAGGGUGGUCUGGGGUCCCUGGCCCAGGGCCAGGGGGCAGAAUAGCGAGAGCCCAUCCCUUUCAGGGUCAGGCGCCAAGCUCCAGGAGAGCCAAGCAAGAGCUGGGCCUGGUGCCCUGCAGGGAGGCGAGCGGCGUCUCCAUGGUGACCGGGCUGCACACUGGACUUUUGUUGGUUGGGCUGGGGGAGGGGAGAGAGGUCACCGCUGGGCCAGGGAGCCCCGGACAGCUUUGGCCGGAGGCUUCGAUUCUGUCCCCACCAUCUCUUCCCCCAACCGUUCAGGGACCAGAGGCCCAGGAUUGCUGGGCCCGGCCUCCCCUUCCCUCCACUCUGCCCCUGCCAGCUCUUUCCAGAGAUGAAUCGGGAAGGGAGGGCGGGGAGGCCAUCCCUCCCCAGCAGUCCCAGGCUGUGUGGCCUGACAAGCCCAUCCAACCCUUGUAGCUCACUUUUUCCUUCUGCAGUGGGGCCGACAAGGCACAUUCCCGCCAAGCCCAGGCAGGGUAAGACUUCGGGACUCCCACCCUGUCCCAACCAGACCGCCACUCACCGUCUACGCCGAGACCGUGGGCCUGCGGGGGCAGCUCGGGGCGCCCGUCCUCGCGCAGCUCAAAGCGGAAGGCGGCCACGCGGCGGCUGAUGUCCUGGUGCGGCGUGGCCUGCAGGAAGAGG